Molecule: long non-coding RNA, 360 nt
Organism: Penaeus monodon (black tiger shrimp)
Lineage: Eukaryota; Metazoa; Arthropoda; Malacostraca; Decapoda; Penaeidae
Exons: 2
Source: RefSeq, a predicted model, not a curated record
AUCCGCACCACCUCAUCGCCUGGACGACCCUCACCGCGAUGACCUCCCUCCUGAACUCGGUCCUCGGAGUCGUCGUCAUCUACAAGAAGGUCAGCGUCGCCUGGGGCACCGUGCUCGUCGUGGCCUCCGUCGUCAACUUCGUGGUCGUGUCCUUCGUGCAGGCCGUGGUCUACGACAUGAUGCGAGGUUCCGACUAAACGUUAACCCAUCAACAAACUAUCAACCGGGAGUUAAUUUGAUGAUUCACUAGUAAUCAUCAAAAUUAUUGAAAAAAAAAAAAAAAUCUUCUUUGACAAUUAAGAAUAUGUGUAGAAUGCAGAAUACAGAAUGUAGAAUGAGCAUAAAACAUCUUAAGAAUAA